This 1059-nucleotide small RNA is filed under the name Pongo abelii (Sumatran orangutan). RNAcentral's name for it is "retained intron". The record is from RNAcentral. Lineage: Eukaryota; Metazoa; Chordata; Mammalia; Primates; Hominidae.
GGCAAGAGGCGGCCGAGAAGAGAGGACCGUGGGGGCGUUCGCGUGGCUCCCAGGCCGGGACUCCACCCCCGCUGGACAGUGGGGGGAAACUGAGGCCUGAGUGGGCCCACAGAGGAUCAUGAAGGUGCUUCUCCUCACAGGGCUGGGGGCCCUGUUCUUUGCCUAUUAUUGGGAUGACAACUUCGACCCAGGUGAGCACCUGGGGUUGAGGGAGGGAGAAACCGGGCCAGCUGUCCUGUCCCAGAGUGACCACCCCGGCUAUGGCCAGCCAGCCUCCAGGGAGCGCGAGUGCUGCUGACAGGGGCCAACGCUGGUGUUGGUGAGGAGCUGGCCUAUCACUACGCGCGUCUGGGCUCCCACCUGGUGCUCACUGCCCACACUGAGGCUCUCCUGCAGAAGGUGGUAGGGAACUGCCGGAAGCUGGGCGCCCCCAAGGUCUUCUACAUCGCGGCGGACAUGGCCUCCCCUGAGGCGCCCGAGAGCGUGGUGCAGUUUGCGCUGGACAAGCUGGGCGGGCUGGACUACCUCGUGCUGAACCACAUCGGCGGCGCCCCGGCCGGCACGCGAGCCCGCAGCCCCCAGGCAACGCGCUGGCUCAUGCAGGUAAACUUUCUGAGCUACGUGCAACUGACGUCGCGGGCGCUGCCCAGCCUGACGGACAGCAAAGGCUCCCUGGUGGUGGUGUCCUCGCUGCUCGGCCGCGUGCCCACGUCGUUCUCCACUCCCUACUCGGCGGCCAAGUUUGCGCUGGACGGCUUCUUCGGCUCCCUGCGGCGGGAGCUGGACGUGCAGGACGUGAACGUGGCCAUCACCAUGUGCGUCCUGGGCCUCCGAGAUCGCGCCUCCGCCGCCGAGGCAGUCAGGGGAGUCACGAGGGUCAAGGCGGCCCCGGGGCCCAAGGCAGCCCUGGCCGUAAUCCGCGGCGGCGCCACGCGCGCGGCCGGCGUCUUCUACCCGUGGCGUUUCCACCUGCUGUGCUUGCUCCGGCGCUGGCUGCCGCGCCCGCGGGCCUGGUUUAUCCGCCAGGAGCUCAACGUCACGGCCGCGGCUGCAGCCUGA